RNAcentral lists this ribosomal RNA (2905 nucleotides) under Salmonella enterica subsp. enterica. RNAcentral describes it as "23S ribosomal RNA". It matches the Rfam family "Bacterial large subunit ribosomal RNA". The record is from RNAcentral. Lineage: Bacteria; Pseudomonadati; Pseudomonadota; Gammaproteobacteria; Enterobacterales; Enterobacteriaceae.
UUAAGCGACUAAGCGUACACGGUGGAUGCCCUGGCAGUCAGAGGCGAUGAAGGACGUGCUAAUCUGCGAUAAGCGCCGGUAAGGUGAUAUGAACCGUUAUAACCGGCGAUUUCCGAAUGGGGAAACCCAGUGUGAUUCGUCACACUAUCAUUAACUGAAUCCAUAGGUUAAUGAGGCGAACCGGGGGAACUGAAACAUCUAAGUACCCCGAGGAAAAGAAAUCAACCGAGAUUCCCCCAGUAGCGGCGAGCGAACGGGGAGGAGCCCAGAGCCUGAAUCAGCAUGUGUGUUAGUGGAAGCGUCUGGAAAGGCGCGCGAUACAGGGUGACAGCCCCGUACACAAAAGCGCAUGUGCUGUGAGCUCGAUGAGUAGGGCGGGACACGUGGUAUCCUGUCUGAAUAUGGGGGGACCAUCCUCCAAGGCUAAAUACUCCUGACUGACCGAUAGUGAACCAGUACCGUGAGGGAAAGGCGAAAAGAACCCCGGCGAGGGGAGUGAAAAAGAACCUGAAACCGUGUACGUACAAGCAGUGGGAGCACAGGUUUACCUGUGUGACUGCGUACCUUUUGUAUAAUGGGUCAGCGACUUAUAUUCUGUAGCAAGGUUAACCGAAUAGGGGAGCCGGAGGGAAACCGAGUCUUAAUUGGGCGUUAAGUUGCAGGGUAUAGACCCGAAACCCGGUGAUCUAGCCAUGGGCAGGUUGAAGGUUGGGUAACACUAACUGGAGGACCGAACCGACUAAUGUUGAAAAAUUAGCGGAUGACCUGUGGCUGGGGGUGAAAGGCCAAUCAAACCGGGAGAUAGCUGGUUCUCCCCGAAAGCUAUUUAGGUAGCGCCUCGUGAACUCAUCUCCGGGGGUAGAGCACUGUUUCGGCUAGGGGGCCAUCCCGGCUUACCAACCCGAUGCAAACUGCGAAUACCGGAGAAUGUUAUCACGGGAGACACACGGCGGGUGCUAACGUCCGUCGUGAAGAGGGAAACAACCCAGACCGCCAGCUAAGGUCCCAAAGUCAUGGUUAAGUGGGAAACGAUGUGGGAAGGCCCAGACAGCCAGGAUGUUGGCUUAGAAGCAGCCAUCAUUUAAAGAAAGCGUAAUAGCUCACUGGUCGAGUCGGCCUGCGCGGAAGAUGUAACGGGGCUAAACCAUGCACCGAAGCUGCGGCAGCGACACUGUGUGUUGUUGGGUAGGGGAGCGUUCUGUAAGCCUGUGAAGGUGGCCUGUGAGGGUUGCUGGAGGUAUCAGAAGUGCGAAUGCUGACAUAAGUAACGAUAAAGCGGGUGAAAAGCCCGCUCGCCGGAAGACCAAGGGUUCCUGUCCAACGUUAAUCGGGGCAGGGUGAGUCGACCCCUAAGGCGAGGCCGAAAGGCGUAGUCGAUGGGAAACGGGUUAAUAUUCCCGUACUUGGUGUUACUGCGAAGGGGGGACGGAGAAGGCUAUGUUGGCCGGGCGACGGUUGUCCCGGUUUAAGCGUGUAGGUGUGUGUUCCAGGUAAAUCCGGUUCACUUUAACACUGAGGCGUGACGACGAGGCACUACGGUGCUGAAGCAACAAAUGCCCUGCUUCCAGGAAAAGCCUCUAAGCAUCAGGUAACAUCAAAUCGUACCCCAAACCGACACAGGUGGUCAGGUAGAGAAUACCAAGGCGCUUGAGAGAACUCGGGUGAAGGAACUAGGCAAAAUGGUGCCGUAACUUCGGGAGAAGGCACGCUGACACGUAGGUGAAGUGAUUUACUCAUGGAGCUGAAGUCAGUCGAAGAUACCAGCUGGCUGCAACUGUUUAUUAAAAACACAGCACUGUGCAAACACGAAAGUGGACGUAUACGGUGUGACGCCUGCCCGGUGCCGGAAGGUUAAUUGAUGGGGUCAGCGCAAGCGAAGCUCCUGAUCGAAGCCCCGGUAAACGGCGGCCGUAACUAUAACGGUCCUAAGGUAGCGAAAUUCCUUGUCGGGUAAGUUCCGACCUGCACGAAUGGCGUAAUGAUGGCCAGGCUGUCUCCACCCGAGACUCAGUGAAAUUGAACUCGCUGUGAAGAUGCAGUGUACCCGCGGCAAGACGGAAAGACCCCGUGAACCUUUACUAUAGCUUGACACUGAACAUUGAGCCUUGAUGUGUAGGAUAGGUGGGAGGCUUUGAAGCGUGGACGCCAGUCUGCGUGGAGCCGACCUUGAAAUACCACCCUUUAAUGUUUGAUGUUCUAACGUGGACCCGUUACCCGGGUUGCGGACAGUGUCUGGUGGGUAGUUUGACUGGGGCGGUCUCCUCCUAAAGAGUAACGGAGGAGCACGAAGGUUGGCUAAUCCUGGUCGGACAUCAGGAGGUUAGUGCAAUGGCAUAAGCCAGCUUGACUGCGAGCGUGACGGCGCGAGCAGGUGCGAAAGCAGGUCAUAGUGAUCCGGUGGUUCUGAAUGGAAGGGCCAUCGCUCAACGGAUAAAAGGUACUCCGGGGAUAACAGGCUGAUACCGCCCAAGAGUUCAUAUCGACGGCGGUGUUUGGCACCUCGAUGUCGGCUCAUCACAUCCUGGGGCUGAAGUAGGUCCCAAGGGUAUGGCUGUUCGCCAUUUAAAGUGGUACGCGAGCUGGGUUUAGAACGUCGUGAGACAGUUCGGUCCCUAUCUGCCGUGGGCGCUGGAGAACUGAGGGGGGCUGCUCCUAGUACGAGAGGACCGGAGUGGACGCAUCACUGGUGUUCGGGUUGUCAUGCCAAUGGCACUGCCCGGUAGCUAAAUGCGGAAGAGAUAAGUGCUGAAAGCAUCUAAGCACGAAACUUGCCCCGAGAUGAGUUCUCCCUGAGACUUAGAGUCUCCUGAAGGAACGUUGAAGACGACGACGUUGAUAGGCCGGGUGUGUAAGCGCAGCGAUGCGUUGAGCUAACCGGUACUAAUGAACCGUGAGGCUUAACCUU